CCGCAAGGAAUGUGAUGAAUCAUAGUAAUCGAACGAAUCGCAGGUACAUGCGAUAAAUCAUUCAAGUUUCUGCCCUAUCAGCUUUGGAUGGUAGUGUAUUGGACUACCAUGGCAGUCACGGGUAACGGAGAAUUAGGGUUCGAUUCCGGAGAGGGAGCCUGAGAAACGGCUACCACAUCUACGGAAGGCAGCAGGCGCGAAAAUUGCCCAAUCCUGACACGGGGAGGCAGUGACAAGAAAUAACAACUCUAGGUUUUCUUAGAAGUGUAAUGAGGAUAAUUUACAAACCUUACCGAAUGCAAUUGGAGGGCAAGUCUGGUGCCAGCAGCCGCGGUAAUUCCAGCUCCAAUAGCGUAUAUUAAAGUUGUUGCAGUUAAAAAGCUCGUAGUUGAAGUUCUGAUUGUUCGGGUUUCUAGACAUUAGUCGGAGAUACUGACAGUCAUCCGCUUGCAAACAUAUGUUCGACCUUAAUCAGUUGGCUAUGUGAGUAAGCAUUUUACCUUGAGAAAAACAGAGUGUUCCAGGCAGGUUUGUCCGGAAUGCAUUAGCAUGGAAUAAUAGAAUAUGACUGAAGUCUAUUUAUUGGUUACAGGCUUUAGUAAUGAUUAAUAGGAACAGUCGGGGGCAUUCGUACUCAGCAGUCAGAGGUGAAAUUCUAAGAUUUGCUGAAGACGAACUAAUGCGAAAGCAUUUGCCAAGGAUGUUUUCAUUAAUCAAGAACGAAAGUUAGGGGAUCAAAGACGAUCAGAUACCGUCCUAGUCUUAACUAUAAACCAUACCGACUCGGAUUCAGAUGAAUCAAAAUGUUCAUUUGGGACCGUAGGAGAAAUCAAAGUCUUUGGGUUCUGGGGGGAGUAUGGUCGCAAGGCUGAAACUUAAAGGAAUUGACGGUUUUGCACCACCAUGGAGUGGAGUUUGCGGCUUAAUUUGACAACACUGGGAAACUCAUCAGGGCAAGAAGAUUUUAGGAUUGACAGAUUGAGAGUUCUUUCUUGAUUGGUCUAGUGGUGGUGCAUGGCCGUUCUUAGUUGGUGGAGUGAUUUGUCUGGUUAAUUCCGUUAACGAACGAGACCUUAACCUGCUAACUAGUGUCUCCAUCUCAAAUGGAGAGCACUUCUUAGAGGGACUAUGUGAUGUAAUCACAUGGAAGUUUGAGGCAAUAACAGGUCUGUGAUGCCCUUAGAUGUCCUGAGCUGCACGCGUACUACAAUGGCACU
Molecule: ribosomal RNA, 1217 nt
Filed under: Vorticella sp.
Lineage: Eukaryota; Ciliophora; Oligohymenophorea; Sessilida; Vorticellidae
Description: SSU rRNA
Rfam family: Eukaryotic small subunit ribosomal RNA
Source: RNAcentral